RNAcentral lists this transfer RNA (73 nucleotides) under Candidatus Woesearchaeota archaeon. Its description in RNAcentral is "tRNA-Val". It matches the Rfam family "tRNA". From Rfam's summary of the family: Transfer RNA (tRNA) molecules are approximately 80 nucleotides in length. Lineage: Archaea; Nanobdellati; Candidatus Woesearchaeota. The record is from RNAcentral.
GGGCCUGUGGUCUAGCGGUUAUGACGCAACCUUCACAGGGUUGAUGUCCCCGGUUCGAAUCCGGGCAGGCCCA